GCAUCAGGGACACAUGGCCAGUUUGGCCACAUUUACCCUUCUGCCUGGGCCAUUAGACUGAGACACUAGACUCCCUUUCGGGCACCUCUUAAGCACAGAAAAUCCUGAAUUUGUAAAGGAGAGGCUUCUGGAGGUAGGAUAGUUUGGACUUCUGGGAUUUCUAUUACUGGUUUAUGAGGGCUCAAGCAUUUGCACUCUAGGGAUGAACGGGGAGGCACAACGUUUGUACCCCAAACUGUGUAGGAGGCAUCCUGGUCACACAAGAGAAGCAUGUAUGAGCUACAGUAGCAUGAAGCCAGGGGUAAUGAAUUCUGUAAGAGGAGGUGUUGGAGGAAGACUUCUGAGAGGUCAGGCCUGAACAGGUUUUAGAAGUAUGAGUAGGCGUUUACAGUGAUAGAAUGGAGGAAGUUAACUACAGACAGGAAGAACAGCAUGGACAAAAGCUUUACUAACUCGCGACAUAAUGUGGUGUUAGUGAACUCAAAGUAGGUUUGCCCACUUUGCCACGGAUUGUUUUGGUAGAUUCAUUUCUUGUUCCCACAUUUCAUAGAUACUGUUCUGUAGCUCUUCACAAAGUACAGGUUUAAUACGUGGACAUAUAUGUAUUUAGAAUAUUGCUUGGUACAUGGUUAGCACGCUCUUAGUCACACUUCUGAUAACUAAGCAGCUCAACUUUGUCUGUAUAAGAUGUAAAACUACUUUCAAGCCCAACCAACAA
Herpailurus yagouaroundi (jaguarundi) is the source of this 718-nucleotide long non-coding RNA. RefSeq lists it as uncharacterized. Lineage: Eukaryota; Metazoa; Chordata; Mammalia; Carnivora; Felidae. The transcript has 2 exons. The record is from RefSeq and is a predicted model, not a curated record.